CGCAAGUUGCGCCCGAAGCCAUUAGGUCGAGGGCACGCCUGCCUGGGCGUCACGCAUCGCGUCGCCCCCUCCCUCCCCUCUCCUUU
RNAcentral lists this ribosomal RNA (86 nucleotides) under Nematanthus monanthos. RNAcentral's name for it is "partial 5.8S ribosomal RNA". Lineage: Eukaryota; Viridiplantae; Streptophyta; Magnoliopsida; Lamiales; Gesneriaceae. The record is from RNAcentral.